GACUUCCCAACUGUCUCAACCGCGAACUCGGCGAAAUUGCAUUACGAGUAAAGAUGCUCGUUACGCGCAGCAGGACGGAAAGACCCCGUGACCUUUACUACAGCUUGGUAUUGGUGUUCGGUGUGGCUUGUGUAGGAUAGGUGGGAGACUUUGAAGCGGUGACGCCAGUUACCGUGGAGUCAUUGUUGAAAUACCACUCUGGUCACUCUGGAUAUCUAACUUCGAACCGUAAUCCGGUUCAGGGACAGUGCCUGGUGGGUAGUUUAACUGGGGCGGUUGCCUCCCAAAAAGUAACGGAGGCGCCCAAAGGUUCCCUCAACCUGGUUGGCAAUCAGGUGGCGAGUGUAAGUGCACAAGGGAGCUUGACUGUGAGACUGACAGGUCGAGCAGGGACGAAAGUCGGGACUAGUGAUCCGGCAGUGGCUUGUGGAAGCGCUGUCGCUCAACGGAUAAAAGGUACCUCGGGGAUAACAGGCUGAUCUUGCCCAAGAGUCCAUAUCGACGGCAUGGUUUGGCACCUCGAUGUCGGCUCGUCGCAUCCUGGGGCUGGAGUAGGUCCCAAGGGUUGGGCUGUUCGCCCAUUAAAGCGGUACGCGAGCUGGGUUUAGAACGUCGUGAGACAGUUCGGUCCCUAUCCGCUGCGCGCGUAGGAAGUUUGAGAGGAUCUGACCCUAGUACGAGAGGACCGGGUUGGACGAACCUCUGGUGUGUCAGUUGUUCCGCCAGGAGCACCGCUGAUUAGCUACGUUCGGGAUGGAUAACCGCUGAAAGCAUCUAAGCGGGAAGCCGGCCUCAAGAUGAGACUUCCAUACCUUCGGGUGAGAGGCUCCCAGCCAGACUACUGGGUUGAUAGGCCAGAUGUGGAAGCACGGUAACGUGUGCAGCUGACUGGUACUAAUAAGCCGAUGACUUGAUAACACACCGUUCGUUG
Molecule: ribosomal RNA, 931 nt
Filed under: Salmonella enterica subsp. enterica serovar Paratyphi B
Lineage: Bacteria; Pseudomonadati; Pseudomonadota; Gammaproteobacteria; Enterobacterales; Enterobacteriaceae
Also listed under: 2 other names
Description: partial 23S ribosomal RNA
Rfam family: Bacterial large subunit ribosomal RNA
Source: RNAcentral